GGUGAAGGGAGCAUCUAGGUGCAGGGGAGCAUCUGGGUGCAGGGAGCAUCUGGGUGCAGGGGAGUAUCUGGGUGCAGGGGAGCAUCUGGGUGCAAGGGAGCAUCUGGGCAUAGGUGAGUAUCUGGGUGCAGGGGAGUACCUGGGUGCAAGGGAGCAUCUGGGUGCAGGGGAGCAUCUGGGUGUAGGGAGCAUCAGCAUCUAGAUGCAGGAGAGUAUCUGAGUACAGAGGAGCAUCUGGGUUCAGGGAAGCAUCUGGGUGAAGGGAGCAUCUAGGUGCAGGGGAGCAUCUGGGUGCAGGGGAGUACUUGGGUGCAGGGGAGUAUCUGGGUGCAGGGGAGUACCUGGGUGCAGAGGUCGAUCAGGACAGACGGGUCAUGAAUCCGAGUGGUCGUGGCAAAGACGGACAGGAAGGUUCAAAUGCCCUAAGGCUGGGCCACGUGACUGCUCCCCCGCCCCAGAGGAAGGGGCUCCUAGGCCCGUCCCGGGGGAAGCGGUGCCCGUGGGGGAGGGGCAGAGCCCUUACCCUUGGGGACCGGCCGUGCGCACCCCCAAAUGCAGGCGGUUCCUGAGCAAAGGCCUAGGACCCAGGAGGACGGCCCCACCUGCGCUCCCCCACAUCAGGGGACAGCACGCUGUCCACACGCGUGUCGGACCGGCCACCAGGGCUGCGGGCGGGGAGCUGCCCGGCACACAGCGGCUGCUGAGGCCCUGCCGGGGGGACAGGCAGGCCCUCCCCACGGGGCUGCCUUCUCUGGCCGGCCAACCAGGGCUCUCGUUCACUCCCCCGGGCCCGUGGGCACCCCGAGUGGACAGGCUCGUGUUCUGGCGGGAGAAGUCGGAAGCCGAGGCGUCAUGACCGGCUGCAGCUGGACUCCACGGGAGCUGGUCCCUGGGGGCCUGGGCGUGGGCAGCGGCCCAAGGUGAGGAGCUGCUGCCCCCCAGGCAUCAGGGAAAAGUCGGCUGUCACCGCAGGGAAGGGACCCGUUCCAGUGACCGCGGAUCCCCCAGGAGGACACUCCCGGCCACCACGGGAGGAGCUGCUCCCCCGUGUUCAACCAGACCCCACGUCCACGGGGCCCAACCCCUGGUACAGGCUCCAGAAAUGGUGAGCAAGAAACACCCACGUUCCACCCACUGGACACACGCCGCACGGGGGGACAUCUGGGGGCCAGGGAGUAUCUGGACAGGAAAGGAUCCCAGUGCGAAGGAGGGUCUGGAUGGGGGAAGCACCUGGGAGCAGAGGAGUAUCUGGGUGCACAAGGAGCAUCUGGACGAAGGGCAGUGCCUCUGUUUAGAGGCGCAUCUGUAUGCAGGGGAGCACCUGGAUGCCAGGGCUGACCUACAUUCAGAGAAGUAGCUGGGUGCUGGGGAGUAUCUGUCUGCCUGGCAGGAUGCGGGUGCAGGGGAGUAUCUGGUUACAGGGAAGUAUCUGGCUGCCUGGGAGUAUCCGGCUGCAGGGGAGUAUCUGACUGGGAGUGAGCGCAGGGCAGUACCUGGUUGCUGGGAGCAUCUGGGUGCAGGGCAGUAUCUGGCGUCUUGGGAGUAUCUGCCGGAGCAUGCGCGUGCAGGGAACUGUCUGGCUGCCUGGAGCAUCUGGGUGCAGGGGAGCAUCCGC
This 1615-nucleotide long non-coding RNA is filed under the name Marmota monax (woodchuck). The record is from RNAcentral. Lineage: Eukaryota; Metazoa; Chordata; Mammalia; Rodentia; Sciuridae.